Molecule: ribosomal RNA, 482 nt
Filed under: uncultured bacterium
Lineage: Bacteria
Description: partial 16S ribosomal RNA
Rfam family: Bacterial small subunit ribosomal RNA
Source: RNAcentral
GAUGAACGCUGGCGGCGUGCCUAAUACAUGCAAGUCGAACGCUUCACUUCGGUGAAGAGUGGCGAACGGGUGAGUAAUACAUAAGUAACCUGGCAUCUACAGGGGGAUAACUGAUGGAAACGUCAGCUAAGACCGCAUAGGUGUAGAGAUCGCAUGAACUCUAUAUGAAAAGUGCUACGGGACUGGUAGAUGAUGGACUUAUGGCGCAUUAGCUUGUUGGUAGGGUAAAGGCCUACCAAGGCGACGAUGCGUAGCCUACCCGAGAGGGUGGACGGCCACAAGAGGAGGUGAACAACGGCCCGGAGACCUAGGGACGGCGCAGGUGGGUAAUUUAGGGAAAUGGGGGAAACCUUGACCAGGCAACGAGAGGUGAAGGAAGAAGUAAUUCGUAAGGUAAAAUUCUGUUAAGGGGGAGAACGGUGGAUAUAGGGAAUGAUAUCCAAGUGACGGUACUCUAUAAGAAAGCCACGGCUAACUACGUG